This 123-nucleotide ribosomal RNA is filed under the name Fusarium acuminatum CS5907. Its description in RNAcentral is "LSU ribosomal RNA Mit. Neurospora crassa". Lineage: Eukaryota; Fungi; Ascomycota; Sordariomycetes; Hypocreales; Nectriaceae. The record is from RNAcentral.
CUUGCUAGCAAGUUAAGCCCGUUUUAUUUUGUACAAAUUGGGGGAUCAUGAAGAUUUUAUCAGUGAGUAUGUAGACUCGGAAUGGCAAAGAUAUAUCUUAAAUCAUCAGACAUAGAAUGAUAA